RNAcentral lists this ribosomal RNA (253 nucleotides) under uncultured bacterium. RNAcentral describes it as "partial 16S ribosomal RNA". It matches the Rfam family "Bacterial small subunit ribosomal RNA", at positions 524 to 779 of the family's 1533-position model. The record is from RNAcentral.
UACGGAGGGUGCGAGCGUUAUUCGGAAUUACUGGGCGUAAAGCGCGUGCAGGCGGGGGUAUAAGUCUGAUGUGAAAGCCCUGGGCUUAACCUGGGAAGAGCAUUGGAAACUGUAUCUCUUGAGUACUGGAGAGGAAGGGGGAAUUCCCGGUGUAGAGGUGAAAUUCGUAGAGAUCGGGAGGAAUACCAGUGGCGAAGGCGCCCUUCUGGACGGUAACUGACGCUGAGACGCGAAAGCGCGCAACUGGGCCAUU